CUUCCUACGGGGGGCAGCAGUGGGGGAUAUUGCACAAUGGGGGAAACCCUGAUGCAGCGACGCCGCGUGUAGGAAGACGGUCCUCUGGAUUGUAAACUACUGUCCCCAGGGACGAAGAUGACGGUACCUGGGGAGGAAGCUCCGGCUAACUACGUGCCAGCAGCCGCGGUAAUACGGAGGAUGCGAGCGUUACCCGGAUUUAUUGGGUUUAAAGGGUGCGCAGGCGGCACGGCAGGCCGGCGGUCAAAUCGCGGGGCUCAACCCCGCCCAGCCGUCGGAACUGCCGGGCUAGAGUGGGCGAGAAG
This 305-nucleotide ribosomal RNA is filed under the name uncultured bacterium. Its description in RNAcentral is "bacterial SSU rRNA". It matches the Rfam family "Bacterial small subunit ribosomal RNA", at positions 335 to 657 of the family's 1533-position model. The record is from RNAcentral.